AUGCAACGCGAAACCUUACUACCCUUGACAUGUCCGGAAUCCCGAAGAGAUUUGGUAGGUGCUCGCAAGAGAACCGGAACACAGGUGCUGCAUGGCUGUCGUCAGCUCGUGUCGUGAGAUGUUGGGUUAAGUCCCGCAACGAGCGCAACCCUUGUCAUUAGUUGCCAUCAUUUGGUUGGGCACUCUAAUGAGACUGCCGGUGACAAACCGGAGGAAGGUGGGGAUGACGUCAAGUCCUCAUGGCCCUUAUGGGUAGGGCUUCACACGUCAUACAAUGGUCGGUACAGAGGGUUGCCAACCCGCGAGGGGGAGCUAAUCCCACAAAGCCGAUCGUAGUCCGGAUCGCAGUCUGCAACUCGACUGCGUGAAGUCGGAAUCGCUAGUAAUCGUGGAUCAGCAUGUCACGGUGAAUACGUUCCCGGGUCUU
RNAcentral lists this ribosomal RNA (427 nucleotides) under uncultured Rhodocyclaceae bacterium. Its description in RNAcentral is "bacterial SSU rRNA". It matches the Rfam family "Bacterial small subunit ribosomal RNA", at positions 954 to 1382 of the family's 1533-position model. Lineage: Bacteria; Pseudomonadati; Pseudomonadota; Betaproteobacteria; Rhodocyclales; Rhodocyclaceae. The record is from RNAcentral.